This 465-nucleotide ribosomal RNA is filed under the name uncultured bacterium. Its description in RNAcentral is "bacterial SSU rRNA". It matches the Rfam family "Bacterial small subunit ribosomal RNA", at positions 28 to 507 of the family's 1533-position model. The record is from RNAcentral.
GACGAACGCUGGCGGCGUGCUUAAAACAUGCAAGUCGAACGGACUUCUCAUGAAGCUUGCAAUUGAGAAGUUAGUGGCGGACGGGUGAGUAACGCGUGGGCAACCUGCCCCUGAGCCCGGGAUAACAGUUCGAAAGGACUGCUAAGACCGGAUAUACUUGCGGGGAAGCAUUUCUCUGUAAGGAAAGGGAACGCUCAGGGAUGGGCCCGCGUCCCAUUAGCUAGUUGGUGAGGUAACGGCCCACCAAGGCGACGAUGGGUAGCCGGCCUGAGAGGGUGAACGGCCACACUGGGACUGAGACACGGCCCAGACUCCUACGGGAGGCAGCAGUUGGGAAUCUUCGGCAAUGGGCGCAAGCCUGACCGAGCAACGCCGCGUGAGUGAUGAAGGUUUUCGGAUUGUAAAGCUCUGUCUUCCGGGACGAUAAUGACGGUACCGGAGGAGGAAGCCACGGCUAACUACGUG